UGGGGAAUUUUGGACAAUGGGCGAAAGCCUGAUCCAGCCAUGCCGCGUGAGUGAAGAAGGCCUUCGGGUUGUAAAGCUCUUUUAGCCGGAAAGAAAGAGUCGCAAUGAAUAAUUGUGGUUUAUGACGGUACCGACAGAAUAAGCACCGACUAACUACGUGCCAGCAGCCGCGGUAAUACGUAGGGUGCGAGCGUUAAUCGGAAUUACUGGGCGUAAAGCGUGCGCAGGCGGUUUUGCAAGUCAGAUGUGAAAGCCCCGGGCUUAACCUGGGAAUUGCGUUUGAAACUGCAAGGCUAGAGUGCAGCAGAGGGGAGUGGAAUUCCAUGUGUAGCAGUGAAAUGCGUAGAGAUGUGGAAGAACACCGAUGGCGAAGGCAGCUCCCUGGGUUGACACUGACGCUCAUGCACGAAAGCGUGGGGAGCAAACA
Molecule: ribosomal RNA, 427 nt
Filed under: uncultured beta proteobacterium
Lineage: Bacteria; Pseudomonadati; Pseudomonadota; Betaproteobacteria
Description: bacterial SSU rRNA
Rfam family: Bacterial small subunit ribosomal RNA
Source: RNAcentral